This 563-nucleotide long non-coding RNA is filed under the name Pan troglodytes (chimpanzee). RNAcentral describes it as "long non-coding RNA NONPTRT008896". Lineage: Eukaryota; Metazoa; Chordata; Mammalia; Primates; Hominidae. The record is from RNAcentral.
AUCGUGAACUCUCGUCAGCUCCCAAGACCUGCUGACUCAGAAGCUCUGGGGAUGGGGCUGGCAGUCUGGGUGUGAAUGCCCUCUGAGGUUGCUGUGGAGACUCCUGAGGUCACCUGCAUCCGCCAAACUCCGCCUGGGGUUCCCUUCGUUAUCAGCAGAGCACAUAGACACAUGUCUGGAUUUGUUUAUUCAUUGUCUUUUCAAAUAUAGUGUACUCAACAUGGAAAACAGAAGGAGGAGGAAGAGAAUGGAGAAAGAAAGCAUGAAAACUGAACCUCUCCUCCAUGCCCCUUUCUCAAAGCCACUCCUCCAGGGGUACCCCGUCUUUCUGUGCCUUUAUCAAUGUGUGUGGGCAGUUUUGAUUUACACAUAGAAGACCAUCAAAGUGCAUUGCAGCUUGCUUUUUCACAUAAUGUAAAUACUUCUGGUAUCUGCAUAUAAACACCAGCAUUGACAUUUUUAAUGAUUUUGUAGCAUUUUGAUGUAUGAAUUGCAAUAAUUUCAUUACAGUAAUGUUUUCCCUAAAAAUGGACAUAUCGAUUGUUUUCAACGUCUCCUUUUGC